RNAcentral lists this ribosomal RNA (253 nucleotides) under uncultured bacterium. Its description in RNAcentral is "partial 16S ribosomal RNA". It matches the Rfam family "Bacterial small subunit ribosomal RNA", at positions 524 to 776 of the family's 1533-position model. The record is from RNAcentral.
UACGUAGGGCGCAAGCGUUGUCCGGAUUUAUUGGGCGUAAAGAGCUCGUAGGCGGUCUGUCGCGUCGGCUGUGAAAACCCGAGGCUCAACCUCGGGCCUGCAGUCGAUACGGGCAGACUAGAGUGUGGUAGGGGAGACUGGAAUUCCUGGUGUAGCGGUGAAAUGCGCAGAUAUCAGGAGGAACACCGGUGGCGAAGGCGGGUCUCUGGGCCAUAACUGACGCUGAGGAGCGAAAGCGUGGGGAGCAAACAGG